AAGAGUCUGACCUGCCCGGUGAUUUUUUAACGGCCGCGGUACUCUGACCGUGCAAAGGUAGCAUAAUCAUUUGCCUUAUAAUUGAAGGCUAGUAUGAAGGGUCUGACGAAAGUUUAGCUGUCUCUUAUUGAUUAAAAUGAAAUUGACUUUCAAGUGCAAAGGCUUGAAUGGUACUAUCAGACAAGAAGACCCUAUUGAGCUUUUAUAAAAUUUAAUGAUAUUUUCAUAGGUUUACACGAUUUUAAUUCAUUAGUUUUUUUGGUUGGGGCGACUCAGGAACAACUAAAGCUUCCUGGUGUAAAUGAUUAAUUUUUAAUAAUAGAUCCAGAAUAUUCUGAUUAACAGAAUAAGUUACCAUAGGGAUAACAGCAUAAUCUUUUUUGAGAGUUCUAAUCGAAAAAAAGGCUUGUGACCUCGAUGUUGGAUUAGAGUAUCUUAAGGGUGCAGCAGCUCUUUUAAGUUGGUCUGUUCG
Molecule: ribosomal RNA, 472 nt
Filed under: Lanistes varicus
Lineage: Eukaryota; Metazoa; Mollusca; Gastropoda; Architaenioglossa; Ampullariidae
Description: partial 16S ribosomal RNA
Rfam family: Bacterial large subunit ribosomal RNA
Source: RNAcentral